Molecule: transfer RNA, 72 nt
Filed under: Camelus bactrianus (Bactrian camel)
Lineage: Eukaryota; Metazoa; Chordata; Mammalia; Artiodactyla; Camelidae
Also listed under: 2 other names
Rfam family: tRNA
About the family: Transfer RNA (tRNA) molecules are approximately 80 nucleotides in length. Their secondary structure includes four short double-helical elements and three loops (D, anti-codon, and T loops). Further hydrogen bonds mediate the characteristic L-shaped molecular structure. tRNAs have two regions of fundamental functional importance: the anti-codon, which is responsible for specific mRNA codon recognition, and the 3' end, to which the tRNAs corresponding amino acid is attached (by aminoacyl-tRNA synthetases). tRNAs cope with the degeneracy of the genetic code in two manners: having more than one tRNA (with a specific anti-codon) for a particular amino acid; and 'wobble' base-pairing, i.e. permitting non-standard base-pairing at the 3rd anti-codon position.
Source: Rfam by way of RNAcentral
GGGGAUAUAGCUUAGUGGUAGAGGGCAUGCUUAGCAUAUAUGAAGUCCUGGGUUCAAUCCCCAGUGCCUCCA